This is a long non-coding RNA of Gambusia affinis (western mosquitofish), 334 nucleotides long. RefSeq lists it as uncharacterized. The transcript has 3 exons. NCBI's taxonomy places the organism in Eukaryota, Metazoa, Chordata, Actinopteri, Cyprinodontiformes, Poeciliidae. The record is from RefSeq and is a predicted model, not a curated record.
GAACCCACCAUGCACAGGGAGAACAUGCAAACUCCAUGCAGAAAGACCCCCGGCCGGGAAUCGAACCCAGGACCUUCUUGCUGCAAGGCAACAGCUCUACCAACUGCGCCACUGUGCAGCCCAAGAUCUUCUCUCUCUGAUAAGUUGCAUACAAGCACACGCCCCCCGGCUGAAGAACUGCUCUCAACCCUUCCUGGGAAGCAUCACCAUGCAGAAUAAAUGCAUGUUGGGUGAGAUCUGGAUACCCAAGGAUGGGAGGCUCAUGUUGACGUUCCACCUGUCCUUUUGCUUUCCCGAUGGUGGAUUUUCAGGUGGACUGACCAGAAGCUAGUAG